RNAcentral lists this unclassified non-coding RNA (240 nucleotides) under Hevea brasiliensis (rubber tree). Lineage: Eukaryota; Viridiplantae; Streptophyta; Magnoliopsida; Malpighiales; Euphorbiaceae. The record is from RNAcentral.
GAAAGAAGUGGAUGGGGCAUAUCCAACUGUGAAAUGGGCAGUUUGAAUUCGUAUAGCCAACCAUGACUUGCUUGAGAUGAAGGCGUAGUAGUAGUUGUUGUUUGUAAUUCAGAUUAUGCAACUAGAAUGAUGGUGGUAGUUAUAACAGCAGGAUCAAAUGAUAAUUUCAAGUCUUCGACCAUAGCUUUCUCGAGUAUCUACCUUGCAGGAUAGACAACAGAUUGUCAUAAACAAAUCAAA